Molecule: ribosomal RNA, 253 nt
Filed under: uncultured bacterium
Lineage: Bacteria
Description: partial 16S ribosomal RNA
Rfam family: Bacterial small subunit ribosomal RNA
Source: RNAcentral
UACGUAGGUGGCAAGCGUUGUCCGGAAUUACUGGGCGUAAAGCGUGCGUAGGUGGUUCGUUAAGUCUGAUGUGAAAGCCCUGGGCUCAACCUGGGAAUGGCAUUGGAUACUGGCGACCUAGAGUGCGGUAGAGGGGUGUGGAAUUCCCGGUGUAGCAGUGAAAUGCGUAGAUAUCGGGAGGAACAUCUGUGGCGAAGGCGACACCCUGGACCAGCACUGACACUGAGGCACGAAAGCGUGGGGAGCAAACAGG